UGCCUUGUAUAGUGGUCAGCACGUUCGACUCGUAAUUGAGAGGUCCGUGGUUCGAGUCCAGGCAGGGCAU
RNAcentral lists this transfer RNA (70 nucleotides) under Stegodyphus mimosarum. It matches the Rfam family "tRNA". From Rfam's summary of the family: Transfer RNA (tRNA) molecules are approximately 80 nucleotides in length. Their secondary structure includes four short double-helical elements and three loops (D, anti-codon, and T loops). Lineage: Eukaryota; Metazoa; Arthropoda; Arachnida; Araneae; Eresidae. The record is from Rfam by way of RNAcentral.